UCUUGGAUUAGUUCAUUCCUGAGUGUAAAAAUAUUAAAUAAUUGACCCGAGAUGAUAUGAUUUUGAUAUUUCAGAAUGUUUAUUGCCUAGGAACAAAUUCUUUAAUAUGUAAAAGAAAAAAAACCCUGUAGUUAAUACAGUAUUGAUGCAAUUUCAGUUGAUUAUUUGUGUUCACAGUGACUCAGCUAUUUUUAUUUGACUUAUGCUAUAUGUUUAUAUUACUUCUUCUUGCUGUAACUGAGUGCACCACAUUCACAGAGCAGUAUUUGUGUGCCAGUCGUGUAAAAGUUCACAUUGUUAUUGUGCUAAAUACCCACAAUAACAACAGAGCCUUAAAGCAUGCCAGAUUUCUGUCCCUUACACCAUUCUCUGUCAUCAUCAUCUUCCCCAAAACCUGUCAGUCUGGCUUUGGCAGGAUUUUACCUCUGUCCAGCUUUAGUUGUGCCACAAUGAAGCACAACUGAAUAAUUUUGAGUCUGUAGCCCUUCCUAACCAGUGUAAAUUGUUGUUUUAUACAGAUGUAACAAUAAUAAUCAAAUAAUUAAAGGUUUAUAACUAUCUGCA
This is a long non-coding RNA of Carassius carassius (crucian carp), 564 nucleotides long. RefSeq lists it as uncharacterized. The record is from RefSeq and is a predicted model, not a curated record. Lineage: Eukaryota; Metazoa; Chordata; Actinopteri; Cypriniformes; Cyprinidae. The transcript is spliced from 2 exons.